UAUAUGUAAUCCAUUUCUCAUCCAUGUUAUGAGGAGAAAAACAGAAAAUACUACACUUAUUAUCUGCAUCUAAACUCUCUCUCUCUCAAGUUCUUAGAAGCAAAGCUCUCUCCAUUUUCUGAAACACUUUCUAUGUUAGUUUUACAACACGUUAUCAGCACGACUAGCUCUAGGAUUCGGAUUGUCGAUCGACAAGAGAAGAGGUGAAUAACUCUUGGGUUGCAGAAAAGAAGAGGUUCAUCAUUCAAUCAACAUCAAUCUACCAGCUCUACAACCAAGCAAGAUACAAUGAGGCUGUGUACUUAAGAGAGCCUCGCUCCACCCAAACCUCAUACUCUUACCUGGUCGUAUUUAAUUGGAGUUACCAAAAGGGUUGAGUAAUAACUUUUCAUUCCUUGGCAGACCAGCUUGAGCCCAGCAGGCCUACUCUCCCUCUGCGGGACCUAGCAGCCCAGCAGGCCUCACACACCAUUUAAAUUACGCAUGAAAGACCGGGUCACAAGCCCGCAAACUAAGCCCGAUAGGCUUCACUAUCAAGCCUACUCCUUUGGUCCAGCAGAAUCAAAUAAAAGGAAAAAUGAUUUGAUAUUGUAAAUAGAUUCACCAUAUUUAAUAUGUGUAAUUAAUUGCCAGAAGCAUUUAUUCACAUAAUUGUGUGAUAAUUAAUAUGUUAUUUUACUAGCAUGCAAUUAAUAUCUCAAUUAAUUUGUGAUUUUUAUUUA
Molecule: long non-coding RNA, 722 nt
Organism: Rosa rugosa (rugosa rose)
Lineage: Eukaryota; Viridiplantae; Streptophyta; Magnoliopsida; Rosales; Rosaceae
Exons: 2
Source: RefSeq, a predicted model, not a curated record